GGCAAUGAGCAGAACUUGCAAGGCCAAGGUCAAUUCAAUGGCUUUUAGUUGCAGUUUGUCUCUGUUUAUUUCUGUAGUUUGUAUCAAUAGCUAUGUAUUUGUUUACUCUAGUCCAUUAUGUUUAAAUAGGACUUCAAUUAGUUGCUAUAGUAAGGAGUUACUAUAUGUUUUGUCAAACUGAUAUACAAUUUAAGUAUUGCUGUGGAAGUUUGGUUCCUUCAUUUGUUGUGAAAUUCUAAAUUCUUAAAGCUGUGGUAUCCAUAUACGCUCGUAAUGACAACCACAUAUCUUUUUGCAAUUCAAUUUUUAUAUGGUUUAUACUAUGGAAUAGAUUAAUGCUUAGAUGCACUUGGCACAGAACAACAUAACUGAAAUUAGGAGUGAUGCAUUGAAGCUGAUUUUGAUGCAUAAGAGGCCAAUUCCUCGUGUUUCCACAACAAUUGGUGCUUGGCUGAACAUAUUUCAGUUCAUUUGUUGUUACAUCCAUAUGCACCAACUGCGCCCUUCUAGUAUGGUUAUAUGAUCAUGAGGGGAAAUGGAAUAUAGAGCCUGGCAUAGCUGCAAUUCUGGUUAUGGAACAUAUCCUCCUGUUGAUUAAGUUUGGUUUCUCUCGCCUUGUACCCGAGGGCAGCUGGUACUAGUGCUUGGUUAAGAAGGAAGAAUGAGGUUGGAGGUGGAACGUUUUGGUAGCUUCUGGAAAUUAUAAAAACAGUAGUUCUCCAAAAGUUGAUUUUUUGAGUUUCUGCAAAUUUUCAGUUUAGGAUGCAGUCACCAAUUUUGUUUUCUUGUUUUUGGUUUUUGCGUUGUUCCUAUAGUAGAUUGAGUUGCUGGUUUUGUAAGUAGACGUGUAGGACCAUACAACAUUGAUUUUUAUGU
Molecule: long non-coding RNA, 876 nt
Organism: Rosa rugosa (rugosa rose)
Lineage: Eukaryota; Viridiplantae; Streptophyta; Magnoliopsida; Rosales; Rosaceae
Exons: 3
Source: RefSeq, a predicted model, not a curated record